This 465-nucleotide ribosomal RNA is filed under the name Vreelandella stevensii. Its description in RNAcentral is "partial 16S ribosomal RNA". It matches the Rfam family "Bacterial small subunit ribosomal RNA", at positions 338 to 795 of the family's 1533-position model. The record is from RNAcentral. Lineage: Bacteria; Pseudomonadati; Pseudomonadota; Gammaproteobacteria; Oceanospirillales; Halomonadaceae.
CCUACGGGGGGCAGCAGUGGGGAAUAUUGGACAAUGGGGGGAACCCUGAUCCAGCCAUGCCGCGUGUGUGAAGAAGGCCCUCGGGUUGUAAAGCACUUUCAGUGAGGAAGAACGCCUGGUGGUUAAUACCCAUCAGGAAAGACAUCACUCACAGAAGAAGCACCGGCUAACUCCGUGCCAGCAGCCGCGGUAAUACGGAGGGUGCGAGCGUUAAUCGGAAUUACUGGGCGUAAAGCGCGCGUAGGUGGCUUGAUAAGCCGGUUGUGAAAGCCCCGGGCUCAACCUGGGAACGGCAUCCGGAACUGUCAAGCUAGAGUGCAGGAGAGGAAGGUAGAAUUCCCGGUGCAGCGGUGAAAUGCGUAGAGAUCGGGAGGAAUACCAGUGGCGAAGGCGGCCUUCUGGACUGACACUGACACUGAGGUGCGAAAGCGUGGGUAGCAAACAGGAUUAGAUACCCUGGUAGUC